This 463-nucleotide ribosomal RNA is filed under the name uncultured bacterium. Its description in RNAcentral is "partial 16S ribosomal RNA". It matches the Rfam family "Bacterial small subunit ribosomal RNA", at positions 28 to 507 of the family's 1533-position model. The record is from RNAcentral.
GAUGAACGCUGACAGAAUGCUUAACACAUGCAAGUCUUUGGCGAAGCUGUGCUUGCACAGCCUAGCCAAGGCGGACGGGUGAGUAACGCGUAAGGAACUUGCCCUGCAGUCAGGGAUAACAGGCGGAAACGACUGAUAAGACCUGGUAAAGUCAGGCGGACUCAUGUCCAGCCUGAUGAAAAGUGAUGCUGCAGGAGAGCCUUGCGUCCUAUUAGCUUGUUGGUGGGGUAACGGCCCACCAAGGCGAUGAUAGGUAGCCGGCCUGAGAGGGUGGACGGCCACAAGGGGACUGAGAUACGGCCCUUACUCCUACGGGAGGCAGCAGUGGGGAAUAUUGGACAAUGGGGGCAACCCUGAUCCAGCAAUUCUGUGUGCACGAUGAAGGUUUUCGGAUUGUAAAGUGCUUUCAGCAGGGAAGAAAAAAAUGACGGUACCUGCAGAAGAAGCGACGGCUAAAUACGUG